CUCCCCAAGGACACACAUUUCCACCACGCCCCCUGAGGGCAGCCCCACCCCACCCUGGCAGGCAACCAAGGAUCUGUUUUCUGUCACUAGGGAUUAGUUUUGUCUGAUCUAGAAUUUCAUACAAAUGGAGUUGUGCAGUGUGUACUCCUCUGAGCCUGGCUUCUUUCACUUAGCGUCACGUUGUUGAGAGUGGUCCAGGUUGCUGUGUGUAUCUGUAGUUCUUUUCUUAUUGCUAAGCCCAUUGUACGGAUGUGCCACAAUUUGUUAAACGGUCCAUCUGUUCACGGGCAUUUGGGUUGUUUCUGUUGUCAGCCAUUAUGAAUAAAACUGAUAUGAACACUGCAGGACAAUCUUCUCUGUGGACAUAAGCAUUUGUUUCUUUGGGUAAAUAUUGGGAGUGGAACUGUUGGAUCACGUGUAAAGAUAUGUUUAACUUUUUAAGAACUGCCAACUUCUUUUCUGAAGUGUCCGCACCAUAGGCCUUCAGCAGCAGCAGCUGCACACUCCCUAACACUGGGUGCAACUCGACCGUCCUCUUCUUGUGGAGCACGCGUCCCCAGGUCCUGGCCCAGUGCUGCCUACCAUGGGCGCCCAAUUCAUCAUUACACAAUGCACGAGGGAAGGCGCCCAGCUUUUGUUAUUUUGUUAUCCUUUCCAAGUCAAUAUUUAUUCCAUUUCCACUUCUCUGGAUGUUUUUUUUGUUUGUUUGUUUGUUUGUUCUUUAAGAUUUUAUUUUUUCCUUUUUCUCCCCAAAGCCCCCCGGUACAUAGUUGUAUAUUCUUCGUUGUGGGUCCUUCUAGUUGUGGCAUGUGGGACGCUGCCUCAGCGUGGUUUGAUGAGCAGUGCCAUGUCCGCGCCCAGGAUUCAAACCAAGGAAACACUGGGCCGCCUGCAGCGGAGCGUGCGAACUUAACCACUCGGCCGCAGGGCCAGCCCCUUCUCUGGGUGUUUUUAAUCUUUUGUUACUUUUAAUAAUUACAGAAAUAAUACAUGGCCAGGGUAUAGAAAUUAGAACAUUAAUGAAAAUUUAAUUUUAAAGUUACCCCUUCAUCUCUCCCUCCAGAGGCCUCCGUUCCAGGCUCCACACUGGGCACUAGAAAACAAAGAUGAAGGAAGCACAUUCCUUGUCUCCAAGGGCUCUGCAGGCCGCUGGGCUCCAGCUGCAGAGACAAAGCCCACACAGCAAGCCCUGCCGUCUCCCUGUCUCCCAAGCUUGGGUGUCUGUGGCGUAGCUGACCUUUCUUUCCACGUGGCUGUCUCCCCACCAUCUCGGACGUCCUGUGCCCUCAGAGGAACUUUUAUUUUUUUUGAGGAAGAUUAGCUCUGAGCUAACAUCUGCUCUCAAUCCUCCUCUUUUUGCUGAGGAAGACUGGCCCUGAGGUAACAUCCGUGCUCAUCUCCCUCUACUUUAUAUGUGGGAAGCCUACCACAGCAUGGCUUGCCAAGUGGUGCCAUGUCUGCACCUGGGAUCUGAACGGGUGAACCCUGGGGUGCCAAAGCAGAACCACUGUGCCACCAGGCCAGCCCCUCAAAGGAACUCUUUACACCCCUGCUUCUCAAACCCGUUCCUUCUCCAUUCUCCCUAUUCCAGAAACGGGCGCUACCAUUUGCUGCAACCCACAAGCGAGGAGUCACUCUUGAUUCCUUUUUUCUUCCUCACCCACAUCCACUCCAUCACUACCUCCUAUUGACUUCACCGUCCAAACCCUUCCCGCAUCCCUCCGCGUUUCUCUAGGUCCAGUGCUCCCUCGCCAUUCAGAAGUACCCUCAGUUUUGUCUGAGCUGCCUCCUAACCGGUCUCCAGCUUCUAUGCUUAUCACGCCUCCAAUGUAAAAUCACAUCAGCUAACAACGUUUUUUUGCAGAAACAGAAAAUUCCAUCUUAAAAUUCAUAUGGACUCUCAAGGGACUUUGAAUAGCCAAAACAAUCUUAAAAAAGAAGAACAAGGGGCUGGCCCCGUGGCGAAGUGGUUAAGUUCACAUGCGCCGCUUCAGCGGCCCAGGGUUUUGCAGGUUCGGAUCCUG
This is a long non-coding RNA of Equus caballus (horse), 2024 nucleotides long. The record is from Ensembl. NCBI's taxonomy places the organism in Eukaryota, Metazoa, Chordata, Mammalia, Perissodactyla, Equidae.